Molecule: long non-coding RNA, 366 nt
Organism: Leptopilina heterotoma
Lineage: Eukaryota; Metazoa; Arthropoda; Insecta; Hymenoptera; Figitidae
Exons: 3
Source: RefSeq, a predicted model, not a curated record
UUGAAACUUAAAAUGAGAAAAGUUUUAAUUCAAUAUAUUUUUAUUAAUGGAUGAGGAGAAGUGAAGUGACAGGUAUAGGAACUGACUAUACCUUGGAAUUUGUUUUAUUCCAGUAAUUUUCAAAAAUAUUAAAACUGAAGACGGAAAGUGUCUGAUGGAUGGUUAACAAUUGAUUUCUGUUCUCGUUUUGCAAUGCAGUUUACACGUAUUACCGUCAUGGACUAUACAACUAAUACUCCAAUAAGGGAUACUCAUUAGACAACCGGCGAUCAACAAAAAAUAAACAAUGUAAUAAAAAAAUUUUAACAAAAAAUGUACCUAUAUUAAAAUAAAUAUAUAAAACAAUGUUUGUAUUUUAAACAACAA